CCUACGGGUGGCAGCAGUGAGGAAUAUUGGUCAAUGGGCGUAAGCCUGAACCAGCCAAGUCGCGUGAGGGAUUAAGGUUCUAUGGAUCGUAAACCUCUUUUAUCGGGGAAUAAAGUGCGGGACGUGUCCCGUUUUGUAUGGUCCUUAUGAAUAAAGAUCGGAUAACUCCGUUCCAGCAGCCGCGGUAAUACGGAGGGUCCGGGCGUUUUUCGGGUUUAUUGGGGUUAAAGGGUGCGUUGGCGGACUUUUAAAGCAGGGGGGAAAGACUGGGGAUCAAACCUAGAACUGCCGUUGAAACUGGGGGGCUUGAGUGUGUUUGAGGCAGGCGGAAUGCGUGGUGUAGCGGUGAAAUGCUUAGAUAUCACGCAGAACCCCGAUUGCGAAGGCAGCCUGCCAAGCCAUGACUGACGCUGAUGCACGAAAGCGUGGGGAUCAAACAGGAUUAGAUACCCCAGUAGUC
This 460-nucleotide ribosomal RNA is filed under the name uncultured bacterium. RNAcentral describes it as "partial 16S ribosomal RNA". It matches the Rfam family "Bacterial small subunit ribosomal RNA", at positions 338 to 795 of the family's 1533-position model. The record is from RNAcentral.